UCUCCGUAGGUGAACCUGCGGAAGGAUCAUUACUGAGUUUUGAUUGAAGUUGUUCUGGUCUUUUAAGGUAAGUGAACGCUUCUCUCAUUCCAUCUUACACCUGUGCACCUAUCGUGGAAGACUUGGAUCUAAGCUGGGUCACGACGGCGCUCUACAGGCUCCUCUUUAUACCAAAUAACAGUUUUAGAAAGUCUAUUUUGCUUGAUGAAAACUUAAAUAAAUACAACUUUCAGCAACGGAUCUCUUGGCUCUG
Molecule: unclassified non-coding RNA, 253 nt
Filed under: plant metagenome
Description: partial contains small subunit ribosomal RNA, internal transcribed spacer 1, and 5.8S ribosomal RNA
Source: RNAcentral